RNAcentral lists this ribosomal RNA (1285 nucleotides) under metagenome. RNAcentral's name for it is "bacterial LSU rRNA". It matches the Rfam family "Bacterial large subunit ribosomal RNA", at positions 1655 to 2925 of the family's 2925-position model. The record is from RNAcentral.
CCACACAGGUGGUCAGGUAGAGAAUACCGAGGCGAUCGGGCGAACUGUGGUUAAGGAACUCGGCAAAUUACCCCCGUAACUUCGGGAGAAGGGGGGCCACAGACUGUCAUACCCCACGCGGGUGGCAGCAGUAGGUGGCCGCAGAGACCAGGGGGAAGCGACUGUUUACUAAAAACACAGGUCCGUGCGAAGUCGUAAGACGAUGUAUACGGACUGACGCCUGCCCGGUGCUGGAACGUUAAGGGGACCGGUUAGUCCGCAAGGGCGAAGCUGAGAACUUAAGCGCCAGUAAACGGCGGUGGUAACUAUAACCAUCCUAAGGUAGCGAAAUUCCUUGUCGGGUAUUUCCGACCUGCACGAAUGGCGUAACGACUUCCCUACUGUCUCAACCACAGGCCCGGCGAAAUUGCACUACGAGUAAAGAUGCUCGUUUCGCGCGGAAGGACGGAAAGACCCCGGGACCUUCACUAUAGCUUGACAUUGGUAUCCGAAUUUAAUUGUGUAGGAUAGGUGAGAGGCUUUGAUCCGCGGACGCCAGUCCGUCGGGGAGCCAACGUUGAAAUACCACUCUGUUGAAUUUGGGUAUCUAACUUCGGACCGUGAUCCGGUUCAGGGACAGUGUCUGGUGGGUAGUUUAACUGGGGCGGUUGCCUCCUAAAAUGUAACGGAGGCGCCCAAAGGUUCCCUCAGCCCGGUUGGCAAUCAGGUGUUGAGUGCAAGUGCACAAGGGAGCUUGACUGUGAGACUGACAGGUCGAGCAGGGACGAAAGUCGGGACUAGUGAUCCGGCACCUGCGAGUGGAAGCGGUGUCGCUCAACGGAUAAAAGGUACCCCGGGGAUAACAGGCUGAUCUUCCCCAAGAGUCCAUAUCGACGGGAUGGUUUGGCACCUCGAUGUCGGCUCGUCGCAUCCUGGGGCUGGAGUAGGUCCCAAGGGUUGGGCUGUUCGCCCAUUAAAGCGGCACGCGAGCUGGGUUUAGAACGUCGUGAGACAGUUCGGUCCCUAUCCUCCGCGCGCGUAGGAGACUUGAGAAGAGCUGUCCCUAGUACGAGAGGACCGGGACGGACGAACCUCUGGUGUGCCAGUUGUCAUGCCAAUGGCACGGCUGGUUAGCUACGUUCGGAAGGGAUAACCGCUGAAAGCAUCUAAGCGGGAAGCUCGCUUCAAGAUGAGGUCUCCCACCCCUUCGAGGGUUAAGGCCCCCAGCUAGACCACUGGGUUGAUAGGCCAGAAGUGUAAGCCUGGUAACAGGUUCAGCCGACUGGUACUAAUAGGCCGAGGACUC